UUAUUUUGUGCAGUAUUCUUUAUAAUUUUUAAUUCAUCUAAAUAUUUCAGCAUAUCUUGUCAGUACAAGCUCCACGACAACUGAGACAGCAGAACCUACAACAUCUGCAGCCAGUGCAAGCUCUUCUACAACUGAGUCUCAAACAGCAGAACCUACAACCUCUGCUACAACAAGAUCUCCAUCAAUAGUGUAUCUAACAUCAGCUCUGUCAACAUCUCCUGUCAGUACAAGCUCUUCUACAACUGAGUCUCAAACAGCAGCAUCAACAAGUAAGUAAUAAUAUAUAUGUCCAGUUGUCUGAAGAC
RNAcentral lists this long non-coding RNA (305 nucleotides) under Danio rerio (zebrafish). RNAcentral's name for it is "lncRNA (ENSDARG00000117686.1)". Lineage: Eukaryota; Metazoa; Chordata; Actinopteri; Cypriniformes; Danionidae. The record is from RNAcentral.